CAGUGAUCAAGUACAGACGGAUGCAUGACCAGCACCGUCAGUGCAUUGACGUGUGGACGAUUAUAAACUGAGGGUAAAAUUCAAUAUUUCCUGACAAGCAAAAUCUCACCAGAUACACCGGUGGACUGCUCGAGAUCAAUACUCCACGUGUGUGAACGAUGGCGAUUAGCUACACGUUGUAGUUCUAUGUGAUCGCAUGCCCCAGUUGGCUCUGGUGAAGGUCACUUAAAGCUCGGGGAGAGCAAUCUAUUGUGUCUGUGGACUCGCUACUCAGGUAUCGCAUAACACGCACGAUCGUACGGACACUUUUGAUACCACAAGGCCUUCUACCACGGAAUAGAAGGCCUUUUUUCUGUUUUCCAUAAUCUCCGAUCUCCAGCAUCGUUGGACGGUCAAGACUGUAACACAUCAGCACGUCUCACGACGGCAACGUCAUUGGAAACCACCACGCGGGACUCGCUCGAGAGACGGUCACCGGCCGCUUCAAUCCAACCAGUGCAGAAAGAGUGCAAGUAUUACGAGAAGCAGAGCGGGGAGCAAGGGAGGAAGCUCAUCGGCGAUCGCCGUCCGUCAGCCGGAUAGGGUGAAGACACCGAGCCGAGCAGCAUCCACAAUAGCCAGAGUGACGACGGCGGCGUGACCUGUCGUUCCAUGCAAGCAAGCGGACAGCGUAGGCUAAGUCAAAAUAGAUGGGCCCAUCGUAAGUUUUGAGACAAUUGUGCAUGUAUAGACACCUCUAGAAAUAGAAACAUUAGCAUGCUACUAUCGGUGAAUAAUUAGGCUAGGAAAAUCGUUGAUUCAAUCAAUAAAUGUAAAAUCUGUAAGGGUGAUCGAGUGUUAGUAUUUUGUUGUGGCGAGCUACGUGGCUUGGCGACUCAUGAGCUGUUUUAAUUGAGCUAGUCGACCAAAAU
Molecule: long non-coding RNA, 911 nt
Organism: Armigeres subalbatus
Lineage: Eukaryota; Metazoa; Arthropoda; Insecta; Diptera; Culicidae
Exons: 4
Source: RefSeq, a predicted model, not a curated record